This 274-nucleotide ribosomal RNA is filed under the name uncultured bacterium. RNAcentral describes it as "partial 16S ribosomal RNA". It matches the Rfam family "Bacterial small subunit ribosomal RNA", at positions 523 to 796 of the family's 1533-position model. The record is from RNAcentral.
AUACGGAGGGUGCGAGCGUUAAUCGGAAUUACUGGGCGUAAAGCGCGCGUAGGCGGUUUGGUCAGUCAGAUGUGAAAGCCCUGGGCUCAACCUGGGAACUGCAUUUGAUACUGCCAGGCUAGAGUAUGGUAGAGGGAAGUGGAAUUCCGGGUGUAGCGGUGAAAUGCGUAGAUAUCCGGAGGAACACCAGUGGCGAAGGCGACUUCCUGGACCAAUACUGACGCUGAGGUGCGAAAGCGUGGGUAGCAAACAGGAUUAGAAACCCCAGUAGUCC